This 363-nucleotide ribosomal RNA is filed under the name uncultured eukaryote. RNAcentral's name for it is "partial 18S ribosomal RNA". It matches the Rfam family "Eukaryotic small subunit ribosomal RNA", at positions 592 to 976 of the family's 1831-position model. The record is from RNAcentral.
CAAUAGCAUAUAUUAACGUUGUUGCAGUUGAAAAGCUCGUAGUUGAACUUUUGGUAGGAGCGACCUGGCCUUGGGCGCAUGCCCUUGUUUGCCGUGUGUCGUGUCUGGCCAUCCUUUUCUUCGUUUUUCGGAGGAAUCUUUUACUGUGAGUAAACUGGAGUGCUCAAAACAAGACGUUUGUUUGGUACAUUAAAGCAUGGAAUAAUAAGAUAGGACCUGGUUACUAUUUUGUUGGUUUGCAUAGCUAGGUAAUGAUUAACAGGGACAGUUGGGGGUAUUCGUAUUUAAUUGUCAGGGGUGAAAUUCUUGGAUUUAUGAAAGACGAACGACUGCGAAAGCAUUUACCAAGGAUGUUUUCAUUAA